AAAAAAAAAGUUUAAAAAAGUGGAAUGACCAAACUGAACAUAUCAUAAACUUGCAAUAAGAAAAAUAUUUCAUUUGUGGAGGGAGGAUAAUGAAUAACCCGUCGUGGGAAGAGCCAUUUCAAGUAAUUUUUAGAAGAAAACAUCACCAAUGAAACCAAACCACAAGGUCUGAGUGAUAAAGCAACUAAUGCAAAACAAUAUUCUACGGUUAAGAGUUGUUGAAAAACUUAACACCUAGUGAGAUCAUAUGCAGAAUUAAACAUUUUAAAGCAUGCUUAGUGAAAAACACAUGGUCCAACAAGCAUGAUUCAUUAUGAAACCAAUUUAGAUGUCCAUGGAAGCCCAAAACCAACGAUUUACAUAGUGACAAAAAUAUCAAGAAAGAAGAUAUUGCUUCUACUUACCAUUGAACUGCAGAACCUAAAUGUUAUCUCUAUCUAAUUAUAACAAAAUAUAAAUAUUAGCAAGCCAAGUACAGAGAACAACAAUCGCAAUAGUUACUUUAUGCAUAACGGGACUAUGAUCCUACAGUAGUACCAGUAUGAAUAACAAAAUAUAAAUAGUAGCAACCAAGUACAGAGAACAACAAUUGCAAUAGUUACUUUAUGUAUAAUGGGACUACGAUCCUACCGUAGUGCCAGUAUGAGCAUGUCAAGCGAAUGCGUGAUAUGACAGUGAAACAUCAAGCAUAACGGAAUAUUGCUACUUCGAACAUGCAUUCUAACAAAGCUAAAGCUCCAAAGUAACUCACCUGUAGUCAU
Molecule: unclassified non-coding RNA, 761 nt
Filed under: Hevea brasiliensis (rubber tree)
Lineage: Eukaryota; Viridiplantae; Streptophyta; Magnoliopsida; Malpighiales; Euphorbiaceae
Source: RNAcentral